This 405-nucleotide ribosomal RNA is filed under the name uncultured bacterium. Its description in RNAcentral is "bacterial SSU rRNA". It matches the Rfam family "Bacterial small subunit ribosomal RNA", at positions 355 to 774 of the family's 1533-position model. RNAcentral also lists the same sequence under 1 other name. The record is from RNAcentral.
UGGGGAAUAUUGCGCAAUGGGGGCAACCCUGACGCAGCAACGCCGCGUGCAGGAAGAAGGUCUUCGGAUUGUAAACUGUUGUCGCAAGGGAAGAAGACAGUGACGGUACCUUGUGAGAAAGUCACGGCUAACUACGUGCCAGCAGCCGCGGUAAUACGUAGGUGACAAGCGUUGUCCGGAUUUACUGGGUGUAAAGGGCGCGUAGGCGGACUGUCAAGUCAGUCGUGAAAUACCGGGGCUUAACCCCGGGGCUGCGAUUGAAACUGACAGCCUUGAGUAUCGGAGAGGAAAGCGGAAUUCCUAGUGUAGCGGUGAAAUGCGUAGAUAUUAGGAGGAACACCAGUGGCGAAGGCGGCUUUCUGGACGACAACUGACGCUGAGGCGCGAAAGUGUGGGGAGCAAACA